RNAcentral lists this ribosomal RNA (881 nucleotides) under Acinetobacter sp. RNAcentral's name for it is "bacterial SSU rRNA". It matches the Rfam family "Bacterial small subunit ribosomal RNA", at positions 56 to 932 of the family's 1533-position model. Lineage: Bacteria; Pseudomonadati; Pseudomonadota; Gammaproteobacteria; Moraxellales; Moraxellaceae. The record is from RNAcentral.
UGCAGUCGAGCGGAGUGAUAGUGCUUGCACUAUCACUUAGCGGCGGACGGGUGAGUAAUGCUUAGGAAUCUGCCUAUUAGUGGGGGACAACAUUUCGAAAGGAAUGCUAAUACCGCAUACGUCCUACGGGAGAAAGCAGGGGAUCUUCGGACCUUGCGCUAAUAGAUGAGCCUAAGUCGGAUUAGCUAGUUGGUGGGGUAAAGGCCUACCAAGGCGACGAUCUGUAGCGGGUCUGAGAGGAUGAUCCGCCACACUGGGACUGAGACACGGCCCAGACUCCUACGGGAGGCAGCAGUGGGGAAUAUUGGACAAUGGGCGCAAGCCUGAUCCAGCCAUGCCGCGUGUGUGAAGAAGGCCUUAUGGUUGUAAAGCACUUUAAGCGAGGAGGAGGCUACUUUAGUUAAUACCUAGAGAUAGUGGACGUUACUCGCAGAAUAAGCACCGGCUAACUCUGUGCCAGCAGCCGCGGUAAUACAGAGGGUGCAAGCGUUAAUCGGAUUUACUGGGCGUAAAGCGCGCGUAGGCGGCUAAUUAAGUCAAAUGUGAAAUCCCCGAGCUUAACUUGGGAAUUGCAUUCGAUACUGGUUAGCUAGAGUGUGGGAGAGGAUGGUAGAAUUCCAGGUGUAGCGGUGAAAUGCGUAGAGAUCUGGAGGAAUACCGAUGGCGAAGGCAGCCAUCUGGCCUAACACUGACGCUGAGGUGCGAAAGCAUGGGGAGCAAACAGGAUUAGAUACCCUGGUAGUCCAUGCCGUAAACGAUGUCUACUAGCCGUUGGGGCCUUUGAGGCUUUAGUGGCGCAGCUAACGCGAUAAGUAGACCGCCUGGGGAGUACGGUCGCAAGACUAAAACUCAAAUGAAUUGACGGGGGCCCGCACAAGCGG